CGAGUUUACAACUCCCAAACCCUGUGAACAUACCACUUGUUGCCUCGGCGGAUCAGCCCGCUCCCGGUAAAACGGGACGGCCCGCCAGAGGACCCCUAAACUCUGUUUCUAUAUGUAACUUCUGAGUAAAACCAUAAAUAAAUC
Molecule: unclassified non-coding RNA, 144 nt
Filed under: soil metagenome
Description: partial internal transcribed spacer 1
Source: RNAcentral